Molecule: ribosomal RNA, 497 nt
Filed under: uncultured bacterium
Lineage: Bacteria
Description: partial 16S ribosomal RNA
Rfam family: Bacterial small subunit ribosomal RNA
Source: RNAcentral
GAUGAACGCUGGCGGCGUGCCUAAUACAUGCAAGUCGAGCGAACAGACGAGGAGCUUGCUCCUCUGACGUUAGCGGCGGACGGGUGAGUAACACGUGGAUAACCUACCUAUAAGACUGGUAUAACUUCGGGAAACCGGAGCUAAUACCGGAUAAUAUAUUGAACCGCAUGGUUCAAUAGUGAAAGACGGUUUUGCUGUCACUUAUAGAUGGAUCCGGGCCGGAUUAGCUAGUUGGUAAGGUAACGGCUUACCAAGGCUACGAUGCGUAUCCGACCUGAGAGGGGGAUCGGCCACACUGGAACGGAGACACGGUCCAGGCUCCUACGGGAGGCAGCAGUAGGGUAUCUGACGCAAUGGGCGAGAGCCUGACGGAGCAACGCCGAGUGAGUGAUGACGGUCCUCGGAGCGGAAUAAUCGGUUAUUGGGGAAGAACAAAUGUGGAAGUAAAUAUGCACGUCUUGACGGUAAUUAAUCAGAAAGCCACGGCUAACUACGUG